GGAGGGGGGGCUAGCGUUGUUCAGAAUUACUGGGCGUAAAGGGCGCGUAGGGCGGCCUGUCAAGUCAGGGGGGUGAAAGGGCCCGGGGCUCAACCCGGGAACUGCCCUUGAAACUGGCAAGCUAGAGUCCGAGAGAGGAUGGCGGAAUUCCCAGUGUAGAGGUGAAAUUCGUAGAUAUUGGGAAGAACACCGGUGGCGAAGGCGGCCAUCUGGCUCGGUACUGACGCUGAGGCGCGAAAGCGUGGGGAGCAAACAGGAUUAGAUACACUGGUAGUCCACGCCGUAAACGAUGUGUGCUAGACGUUGGAGGUCUUAGGCCUUCGGUGUCGCAGCUAACGCGUUAAGCACACCGCCUGGGGAGUACGGCCGCAAGGUUA
This 377-nucleotide ribosomal RNA is filed under the name uncultured organism. RNAcentral describes it as "partial 16S ribosomal RNA". It matches the Rfam family "Bacterial small subunit ribosomal RNA", at positions 525 to 896 of the family's 1533-position model. The record is from RNAcentral.